CAAGCGCAUAACUAAAUUAUCACAACUAUUUCCCUUCGCAAUUAUAUUUAUUUCGUACUUUGCAUUAUUCCGAGAAUUAAAUAAAUAAUUCCCCACAAUUAAAUUAUCGGCCCAAGGAUUUAAUUAAUUUGAUCCAAGUUAAUUAUUAUCUAAGCCCUCCUUAUUUCUCUCAUUUAUUUUGUAGGCCUAAAAGGAUUAGCCCAAAUUAAUAUAUAUCCCCAUUUUAUUUGACAAGGCCCAUUUUUUUUAAAACAAAAGGGCCCAAAAGAAAAAGUCCAACUUACUCCCAUCCUUCACGUCUCUUUCUCUCUAUCUCUCCCUCUCUCUUCUCUAUCUCUUUGACUAAAUCGAGCAAAUUCUCCCAAUUUCCGUCGCCUUAUCCAAUUCGCUCCACGCCGCUGUACCGUCGGGCUCCUCCGCCGCAACCGUCGCCCCGACGCCGUUGUACACCGUCGAAGGUCGCACAGAGCCGUCGUCAGCCACUGCCCGUCGCUGCUGCUGUACCGGAAUCGAUGCUGCUGCGGUCUCCCUCCCGGCGUCCAGCACCGAAGCAUCAGCCGCUACCGGCUCCAAUUCGCUGCCCCGCGUACACCGCCGUCGUCGCUCGGCGUCGCCGCUCCAGCCACAAUUUCAUGUAUUCAACCCUUCGCAUAUUUUAAAAAUAUGAUGACUAAUAAUAGGCACCAUAUCAGAACAACGAUAAUUUGUAUCGGGAACUAAUUAAAGCCAAGGCAUACAAAGAAUCAACUAAUAUCGACGAAACAGUAACUAGAAGUUCAACCGGGUAAGACGAAGUUGGUCUAGUUCUGAAGAUGUUGCUCUCUUUGUUACACUAAAGGGGGAUGGAAAUCGGAUAGUGGAUUCCGGUCAAGUUAUCGGUAGAAGCUCGAGGCCUAGCUGAAAGUUAGCCCUCACAUAAUUUCAAAGAUAGCAUGGAAGAAAAACUACUACUCACUUGUUGGGAUACUCGAUAGGAGCAGUGUUGGCUUCAACAGUCACGAAGAUUUCAAAAUUGAUUGUGAUUAUGAUUAGUGGGAUCAGAUUGUUAAGCACAACAACAAUGCUUGGGGUAUGCGUGGAAAGUCCUGGCCAUAUUGGAACGAUUGGAAAUUCAUAUUCGGGAAGGACGAAUCAGUCACCGCGGUGGAGAAGAACUUCCAAGAAAGAGGCAUCAUUGCUGAUAUUGACAGUUCCAGUGAUUACCAAGUCUUCAUAGGCGACAUAUUUGCUAUCCAAUUUGUUGGAGGAGCCGAGCUUGAUAAAAACAGUACUUCUACUAACCAAAAUGAGCCCCCUGCAAAAAAAAUGUAGUCGUAAGCAUAAACGGACAGAUGAGGGAGAUGGCAUGUUGAAACUACUUGGAAAAUUGCAUGCCCAGACCAAUUCUCUAUUGGAUACUCUAUCAAUACGCAUUGGAUAUGACAUGGACCUUGACAUAGCUAGACAAGAAAUAUUUCGUCAUCUGGAUAACAUGGCAGAACUGUCUGAUGCACAAAGGUACGAUCUAUGUGACAUCAUCAGGAAGGAAAACUCCCUACUGGAGAUCUUCAUAUGGCUGCCCGUCAUGAAAGAAACAUGGCUAUGUCAUCCGAGUCAUGGAGAAGGAAUACCUUGCCUGAUGUUGGUCCAAUUGGUGAUGCUUUGAUGUUACGAAGAAAUCUUAUGGUUUAUUUCGACAGACGUGAAGCCGCUUCGAUAGACGUGAACACCAUGUUCAUAUGAUAUGCCAAUGUAAAAAAGACAAUGAGCACUUACAGGUAGUAUCUCAGUCCACACGCAAUCUCUUGCUAUGAGCAUGUUCGUUUGCAUGUCCCAGUACAUGUCAGCCACAUCCAGCACCUCCUUGAAUAUCUUGUUGCAUUUUUUCAAAAAAGUGCAGUCGGCCACAUAGAGCAUCUCAAUCGAAUGCAUACCUUAGUUUGUGCAAGAUAAGUGACUCGGUCUCAAGGAUGAAGUGGCUGGGAAGCACCGUGCCAUCCCAAUCAUUUAUGAUCUUCAGCCUAAUCAUGGUGUCACACGACAGUGAAUCUAGAGCCGGAGUCCAGUUAGCCAUGUAGAUGAACGUGGUUUGUGGGGGUAGGUUGGUUUCCAUGGUUUUGUAGUGAGUAAUAUGCAAACAAAGAGAGUUUUGUGGGUUGUUGGUCUAAGGUGUUAUAUAUAUAAGCAAACCUGGAUGUUUGGGCACGUACAUUUCCAUUAAAUUAAUAUGCAAGUUGGAUUUGGUAGUAGUAUCAA
Molecule: long non-coding RNA, 2235 nt
Organism: Salvia splendens (bonfire salvia)
Lineage: Eukaryota; Viridiplantae; Streptophyta; Magnoliopsida; Lamiales; Lamiaceae
Exons: 4
Source: RefSeq, a predicted model, not a curated record